AUAUGCCUGCAGAUUUCCUAUUUGUUCAUAGAUUGGGUGACCGUUAGUCAUAGGGGAGGGAUGAUCAUAUAAAAGUGGAUAUUUUAUAUGCAGGUGAAAAACAGGUAGUUUAUUCUCUGGCAUGCACCAGAGGAGACUGUUCCUUUUGCGUGGCUCUGAGCACUCGUGUAUCUCUGUUCACGUAUCUUCGCCUUUCCACCUCUGGGUUUAUCAUACCCAGAGCUUGCGAUGCCACACUCUGAACUGUCAAGCACUGGUCUGCCUUUUCCACCUCAAGCUUAAGAACCCGUAGUGCCAGAUGCCUUUGCUACAUCUCGCAUUUUCUCCACCUCGGCUGCCUGCCCGGCUCUGCAGGACGCUGCGCGAGCUGGCCCCGGCACAGCCUGAUGCCGUCCCGGCCACUGUUCCUCCCCCAGGGCGCUGUGUGUGUACACUGCAGUGCGUGCCCGCCCCACUCCUCACAGCAAAGGGGCGUGUGAGCCAGCAGCUCCAACGCGAUCGCAGCCCGAAACCCCGCGGAGCAGGUUCUCGGGAGUGCAGUGUGGCAGAGCAGUCAAGCGGUCCCUCAGGGGCGCCCAGGCGGAUUUCAAACAAUAUCAUCCGUGUGAGAGCAUUUGGAGGAAGAGAAUAAAAGGUCUAAGAGGACCGAGUGGCAGAGGAAGACGCGAGGCAACAUCCGGGCCAUCGAGAGCCCCGAGCGCUUGACCUUCCUGCUCCGCAAGUGAAUUUAUAGGCCUGGUUUAUUCGCGCGCGUUCAUUGUUUGUGCCCCCAGCCUCUCUUCAGUUCUGAGACAAUGCUGAGAGCGUUUGCCUAGCAUAUGUUUCUUCCUGAUGGGCUUCCUGGAGCAGCCUUUCGUUUCUUAGGACUUCUUGAAAAGGUGAGAACUUUUGUCACCUUAAAACCCGUUUGAUGAAAACACAGGAAAUAGCGCUCCCCCUCCACCAGCAGAUUUUCAGUUGUCUUUAAUCGGGGCUCAGUCCUGGCUCUGCUAGCCAAAAAUUCCUGCACAAAGGAGACACCGACGGUCUGUGGGGCCAGCGCGGCAUCCAGGCUCUGCAAACUCUCACCACGUUGUGGUUUUCGCUUCCACUGACCAUAGUUCCUAAGAGAACGAGGCAGUUCUGUAAGAGAGGUGUGUCUCCUCCAUGGGCAAGCCAGGGCCGAGUGACCAUCACACUGCCGUUCUAGCACAGCGCGCACGGUGGGGGCAGAGUAAACGCUCGUUUGUAUUCGGCAGUGAGGCACCUUGUUAGAUGCUGACACUUCCACUCUUAGUGUCUUUUAACAGUCAGGGUUGGAUUGGUCCAAGGUGGCCUACUCCAUCAAAUCAGACUGUAAAAGCUCAGAGAAUCCCUUGGAGGGAAGGAAGGAGCAUAAUACAUUCUUUUCAUUACUCUCAGACAAAUUUUGUGACAUGCUGAGAGGAUCCCCCACACCUCAUCAGUUAAAUGGACAAAUCACUCGAUUAGUAGAUUAUACCAUCGAAGCAUAAUCAAUUCAUUUGCCCGUCACAACCGUCAUACCAGACACAGAAGCGUGAAAACAGCUGACGUUCACUGGUCACAUAGCCUUGCCAAGUGCUUGACGAUGCACACCCUGCGGGGGAGGCACUGUCAUUGCCUGCCGCUCUCCUGAACCUGGGCGCGGAGGGCUGGGGUCUGAGAGACUCGCACUCCCUGCUGCCUCCAGCCCUGCGCUUUGUCGGCGUAGCCUUUACCACAGGCACAAGGCAGGGGCUUCCUAAGCAGUGUCCUGGCAGCCCUGGCAGCCUGAGGGAAGGGUAAAAAUGGGUGCUUGGGCACACUGCUCAGGAUGACCUCAUUAUUUUGAAAUAAGUGGGAAAAAAUUAAUAAUAAUUUUACAAUUUACAAAACCACAGGACUGGGAUGUACAGCUCAGGGGUGGAGCAGGUACUGCGCAUGUGUGAGCGUCCGGGUUUGCCCCUCAGCACCGCACGGGCCCGCGCGCACACGCCAGCCCCGGGACCGUACGUAAAGUCACGCACUGCCCCGUCUGUUCUCACACCCGUUCAACCCUGACCAACGCACGAGUGGCGCACACAGCGCCCUGUGACGCUGGAAGCCUGAGCUGACCCGGAAGGACUCAUCCUCACUACGGAAUAGCCCCGGGUGUAAAACAAAGGGAAGCUGCAGCAGGUCUUUAU
This is a long non-coding RNA of Chinchilla lanigera (long-tailed chinchilla), 2165 nucleotides long. The record is from Ensembl. Lineage: Eukaryota; Metazoa; Chordata; Mammalia; Rodentia; Chinchillidae.